RNAcentral lists this ribosomal RNA (253 nucleotides) under uncultured bacterium. RNAcentral's name for it is "partial 16S ribosomal RNA". It matches the Rfam family "Bacterial small subunit ribosomal RNA", at positions 524 to 776 of the family's 1533-position model. The record is from RNAcentral.
UACAGAGGAGCCAAGCGUUGUCCGGAUUGACUGGGCGUAAAGCGCACGCAGGCGGCACCGUGCGUGGGGUGUGAAAUCUGGCCGCUUAACGGCCAGGCGCCAUCCCAUACGGCGGAGCUAGAGUGAUGCAGAGGUCGGUGGAAUUGCCGGUGUAGUGGUGAAAUGCGUAGAGAUGCGGAGGAAUACCAGUGGCGAAGGCGGCCUUCUGGGACUCAACUGACGCUGAAGCGCGAAAGCAUGGGGAGCGAACGGG